AGUGAACGCUGGCGGUAGGCCUAACACAUGCAAGUCGAACGGCAGCACAGUAAGAGCUUGCUCUUACGGGUGGCGAGUGGCGGACGGGUGAGGAAUACAUCGGAAUCUACUUUUUCGUGGGGGAUAACGUAGGGAAACUUACGCUAAUACCGCAUACGACCUACGGGUGAAAGCAGGGGAUCUUCGGACCUUGCGCGAUUGAAUGAGCCGAUGUCGGAUUAGCUAGUUGGCGGGGUAAAGGCCCACCAAGGCGACGAUCCGUAGCUGGUCUGAGAGGAUGAUCAGCCACACUGGAACUGAGACACGGUCCAGACUCCUACGGGAGGCAGCAGUGGGGAAUAUUGGACAAUGGGCGCAAGCCUGAUCCAGCCAUGCCGCGCGGGUGAAGAAGGCCUUCGGGUUGUAAAGCCCUUUUGUUGGGAAAGAAAAGCAGCAGGUUAAUACCCCGCUGUUCUGACGGUACCCAAAGAAUAAGCACCGGCUAACUUCGUG
RNAcentral lists this ribosomal RNA (492 nucleotides) under uncultured bacterium. RNAcentral's name for it is "partial 16S ribosomal RNA". It matches the Rfam family "Bacterial small subunit ribosomal RNA", at positions 29 to 507 of the family's 1533-position model. The record is from RNAcentral.